Molecule: ribosomal RNA, 270 nt
Filed under: uncultured archaeon
Lineage: Archaea
Description: partial 16S ribosomal RNA
Rfam family: Archaeal small subunit ribosomal RNA
Source: RNAcentral
CAGCACCUCAAGUGGUCAGGAUGAUUAUUGGGCCUAAAGCAUCCGUAGCCGGCGCUGUAAGUUUUCGGUUAAAUCUGUACGCUCAACGUACAGGCUGCCGGGAAUACUGCAGCGCUAGGGAGUGGGAGAGGUAGACGGUACUCGGUAGGAAGGGGUAAAAUCCUUUGAUCUAUUGAUGACCACCUGUGGCGAAGGCGGUCUACCAGAACACGUCCGACGGUGAGGGAUUAAAGCUGGGGGAGCAAACCGGAUUAGAUACCCGCGUAGUCC